Molecule: ribosomal RNA, 763 nt
Filed under: uncultured bacterium
Lineage: Bacteria
Description: bacterial SSU rRNA
Rfam family: Bacterial small subunit ribosomal RNA
Source: RNAcentral
UGGCUCAGAUUGAACGCUGGCGGCAGGCUUAACACAUGCAAGUCGAACGGUAGCGGGAAGGAGCUUGCUUCUUUUCGUGAGAGUGGCGGACGGGUGAGUAAUGCUUGGGAAUCUGGCUUAUGGAGGGGGAUAACUACUGGAAACGGUAGCUAAUACCGCGUAAUGUCUACGGACUAAAGGGGGCGUUUGCUCUUGCCAUAAGAUGAGCCCAAGUGGGAUUAGGUAGUUGGUGGGGUAAAGGCCUACCAAGCCUGCGAUCUCUAGCUGGUCUGAGAGGAUGGCCAGCCACACCGGGACUGAGACACGGCCCGGACUCCUACGGGAGGCAGCAGUGGGGAAUAUUGCGCAAUGGGGGGAACCCUGACGCAGCCAUGCCGCGUGAAUGAAGAAGGCCUUCGGGUUGUAAAGUUCUUUCGGUGAUGAGGAAGGGACUGUGGUGAAUACCCACAGUCAUUGACGUUAAUUACAGAAGAAGCACCGGCUAACUCCGUGCCAGCAGCCGCGGUAAUACGGAGGGUGCGAGCGUUAAUCGGAAUAACUGGGCGUAAAGGGCACGCAGGCGGCUAUUUAAGUGAGGUGUGAAAUCCCCGGGCUUAACCUGGGAAUUGCAUUUCAUACUGGGUAGCUAGAGUACUUUAGGGAGGGGUAGAAUUCCACGUGUAGCGGUGAAAUGCGUAGAGAUGUGGAGGAAUACCGAAGGCGAAGGCAGCCCCUUGGGAAUGUACUGACGCUCAUGUGCGAAAGCGUGGGGAGCAAACAGGAU